AUUCUAGAGGUGGUUCCCAUUGGGUAGGUUUUAAUGCGUAGUUUGUCACUUUGUUUUUCUUUUUGGGUUAAAAUGCUCAACUUUGAACUUUCUGAUUUUCUUUUAUGUCUUUUAUGAUGACUUUUCCCUGCUUUUGUGUUGAAUCAUCAUUUGGUGAUAUAGUUAAUUUGAUUGCACAGUUUGACUAGCCAUAUUCAGAUUUUAUGGAAGUGCAUGAAAUAUGAGGACAUUAAAGCUUAUCAACUGUAACAUUAAUGAUAAACAUGGUUGGAUGGCAGUAAACUUAACCUUAUUUUAGGUGCAAUAAUAAGGAAGAAGCAUUUGAAAGGUUGGUGAAUGUAGGACAGUAGGAGUAGGACAACUUGCAGGAAUGAUAUUCAGUCUUCGUUUUGGAUUUAUUUUAAGGAAGGAACAAAUAGAAACCUGGGUAGACAACUAGAAUUUAUUACAAGAAUAACUAUAAUGACAAACUAGCACAAAGGGCCUGUUUGAUUUAACUAUUGGAAACAAUUGAUAGCUGAUAACCGAUAGUUGUUACUGUUAGUUGAUAGAUGAAUACUAAUAGCUGACUGUAGUUGAUUUAUGUUAAGUAUUUAGUAAAACUAUAUCUAGUUGUUGUUGUUGAUAUAUAAAAUGACUAAUAAGAAUAUAUCCUAUAAUUUUUAUAUUUAUUGAAAUAAAUAUACAAUUAUUAAUUUA
RNAcentral lists this unclassified non-coding RNA (699 nucleotides) under Hevea brasiliensis (rubber tree). The record is from RNAcentral. Lineage: Eukaryota; Viridiplantae; Streptophyta; Magnoliopsida; Malpighiales; Euphorbiaceae.